GUUCCCAAGGGUCAGGAAGAGACUGCUACAUGGCUUGGCUUCAGACCCCUGCAAAGAUCUCCACCUGAAGCGUGGAUGAGGCUGGGGAAGGAAGCCUCCCGGAAAGCAGACUGUCUGUGACGGCGGCUGUCAAAGCAAGCGCUGUUGCUAAGGGAACCGCCUGGGAAGAGCCUCUUGUGGAGAUGAAGUCAGCCCACCUCAAGCAGCCGCCAGGAGACACGGGUUUGAUCGCCAGUUGGGGAAGACCCCACACACCGUGGAGCAAUUAAACCCAUGCACCACAACUACUGAGCCUGUGCUCUAGAGUCCAGGAACUACAACUCCUGAAGUCCAUGCACCCCAGAGCCUGGCUUUGCAACAAGAGAGGCCACCUCAAUGAGAAGCUCAAGCAACACAACUAGAAAAUAGCCCCCACUUGCCACAACCAGAGAAAAGCCUGUGCAACAGUGAAGAUCCAGAACAGCCAUAAAUAAAUUAUUUUUUUAAAUGGUCAAAGCAAAUUUCUCCUCUCCCAAGAAUUUAGACACAAUUCAGGGAACUCACACACUGGAAUUGUCUGGCCUGGCACCUGGGACGUAGUGGCGUGGGCAAGUUUGGGUCCCUCCCUUUAUUCCAGGAGACUGGGACUUCAUUGACCCAGCCUGUGCACAAGGCUCUGAUUGCUU
Long non-coding RNA from Bubalus bubalis (water buffalo), 665 nucleotides. RefSeq lists it as uncharacterized. The transcript has 2 exons. Lineage: Eukaryota; Metazoa; Chordata; Mammalia; Artiodactyla; Bovidae. The record is from RefSeq and is a predicted model, not a curated record.